Molecule: ribosomal RNA, 460 nt
Filed under: uncultured Methylomirabilota bacterium
Lineage: Bacteria; Methylomirabilota (SeqCode)
Description: bacterial SSU rRNA
Rfam family: Bacterial small subunit ribosomal RNA
Source: RNAcentral
GGGCUUGACAUCCCACGAACCUGCCUGAAAGGGCGGGGUGCCCGCAAGGGAGCGUGGAGACAGGUGGUGCAUGGCUGUCGUCAGCUCGUGUCGUGAGAUGUUGGGUUAAGUCCCGCAACGAGCGCAACCCUCACCCCUAGUUGCCACCGGGUAAAGCCGAGCACUCGAGGGGAACUGCCAGCGUCAAGCUGGAGGAAGGCGGGGAUGACGUCAAGUCAUCAUGCCCCUUACGCCCUGGGCUACACACGUGCUACAAUGGCCAGUACAAAGGGACGCGAGACUGCAAGGUGGAGCUAAUCCCAAAAAACUGGUCUAAGUUCAGAUUGCAGUCUGCAACUCGACUGCAUGAAGGAGGAAUCGCUAGUAAUCGCGCAUCAGCACGGCGCGGUGAAUACGUUCCCGGGCCUUGUACACACCGCCCGUCACACCACGAAAGCUGUCUGUACUCGAAGUCGCUGAG